AGGACGAACGCUGGCGGCGUGCUUAACACAUGCAAGUCGAGCGGACAUCUUCGGAUGUUAGCGGCGAACGGGUGAGUAACACGUGGGCAACCUGCCCCUAGCUCUGGGAUAACUCCGGGAAACCGGGGCUAAUACUGGAUAUGACCGAUCCAUGCAUGUGGGUUGGUGGAAAGUUUUCGGCUAGGGAUGGGCCCGCGGCCUAUCAGCUUGUUGGUGGGGUGAUGGCCUACCAAGGCGACGACGGGUA
Molecule: ribosomal RNA, 247 nt
Filed under: uncultured bacterium
Lineage: Bacteria
Description: partial small subunit ribosomal RNA
Rfam family: Bacterial small subunit ribosomal RNA
Source: RNAcentral